UACCAACUCUUCAGUUAAGAAGGGUAUCUCUUGUGAAGCCUCUUUGUGGUACCAGUAGGCAUUGUUUGGUUCUCUAUAGUAAACGCCAUCUCUUGAGCUUGUGAGAAAAUGUUACCUUCGGAUCAGUCGUCAACGGUUUUCCAUUAGUCGUACUGAAAGUUUGAACACAUUAAUGGCGUCGUUUGGUUGACGCCUUGAUAGCGUCUUUCCAAAAAUGGUGAAUAAAUUGUGCUUCAAAAAAUUGCUCAGUUUGCCGGGCACACUGUCUACCACAUGUUCUAUCAGAUAGUAUUUGAGCAUCAAAGGUUGCUUGGUUUGAAAUUGGUUCCCAAGUUAAAACUUGCUCACAUUUGGCCAUCAACUUGGCAGAGAAUGACGGUAAGCUUGGCCACACAGCUGUACUCCAAACAUAUGGCCAUGGCUUUAAAAUUUUUAAGAGAAGACAAAAAAACAGCGCAUUUAUUCAAUGGAUCAGAAGCUACAGAAAAGCUUACAAAGCUUAUUAAUGACACAUUUGACAUUAUGAAUGGACGACACAAGGGUGAGUCAAUUAAUGGGAACAACUGGAAUAAUUUAGUCGAAAUGGAGGGAAAGGUAACAAAGGGGAAAAAAUCUGUACUCGAAGACAUGCUAAAAAUAAUAGAGUUAACUAAGGAGUGCCAUCGCAAUCCUGGAAAACGUCGAAUAAUGGCCGCAUUUGCGUCAGAUACGACUCUAGAUGGCUGGCGCUUGUCUAUCCGUAGCACCAUUGACUUGACAGGAGAGUUAUUGAAUCCAAAAAACCCUUUAGAGGAAUACGAUUUCGUACUGACAGCAAAAUGAAACCAAGACGCCUUAGAGAUGACUUUUGGGCGCAUACGUUCAGUCGAUACACAUCCAACGGCUACAAGUUUUCUACAUAUUAUCAGGAUGAUGUCAUUGUACACACCCGCGAAGAUACUAUUGCGGAACGCAAAUGUAGAAAAUGAUGACCAUAUUAGGGUGCUCGUCGAUUUUAAGGAGUGUCUCAUUAAAAAAUUCCGCGACAAUGCUAAGGCUGCUGCUGAUUUAAGGGUAGCAAUGAAAGAUGAUUUAAUGGAAGAGCUGGGAAAGCGUUACGUAAACGAGUUGCCCUUGUCCAAAGAAGAUAGAAUCGGUAACUUUCUCAUAUACGAUGUAGCAGGUUACAUGGUGAAAACGAGAGAAAACCUUUUCGAGUGUGAGGCAUGCAGACAGACUGUAAUUACCAAAGAAGCAGAUCUACCAAGUGAUUUUGACGCAGAUGCAUACACGAAAGCUCGAACCAAAGGUGGACUGGUGUUUGUCACCCUGUCAAUGUACCAAACUUUGUGCGCAAUUGAAAAAGUUGUCUCAAACCACUUUAAGUCACUUAAUCAUAUUUAUAUCACUGAUACAUUCCAAGAGUGUAUAGCAAAAGUUAAAUUAACCAAUGUACUGCCCCUUUUUUGUGAUACUCAUCGCCAUUGUAAUAUGGGAACUUUAAUAAUGGAGUAUGUAAAAGUGAGAUAUUAUUUUGAAUCUAAACGUUUGAAAGAUGUUUUAUUGUCCAAAGAACAAACAACAGUCCAGGCGAGUUUCAAACUGGCCAAAAAUGCCCAUACAAGAAAUUUAAUACAAAGUAAUACUUAAA
RNAcentral lists this long non-coding RNA (1630 nucleotides) under Daphnia magna. RNAcentral's name for it is "uncharacterized LOC123466531". The record is from RNAcentral. Lineage: Eukaryota; Metazoa; Arthropoda; Branchiopoda; Diplostraca; Daphniidae.